UCCUACGGGAGGCAGCAGUCGGGAAUCUUGCACAAUGGGCGAAAGCCUGAUGCAGCAACGCCGUGUGAGCGAUGAAGGCCUUAGGGUCGUAAAGCUCUGUUGUUAGGGACGAAGGGUGAAGGGUUAAUAGCCCUUAGCCUGACGGUACCUUUCGAGGAAGCCCCGGCUAACUACGUGCCAGCAGCCGCGGUAAUAA
Molecule: ribosomal RNA, 196 nt
Filed under: uncultured Rubrobacter sp.
Lineage: Bacteria; Bacillati; Actinomycetota; Rubrobacteria; Rubrobacterales; Rubrobacteraceae
Description: partial 16S ribosomal RNA
Rfam family: Bacterial small subunit ribosomal RNA
Source: RNAcentral